Molecule: ribosomal RNA, 586 nt
Filed under: uncultured bacterium
Lineage: Bacteria
Description: bacterial SSU rRNA
Rfam family: Bacterial small subunit ribosomal RNA
Source: RNAcentral
CUACGGGAGGCAGCAGUGAGGAAUAUUGCGCAAUGGGGGCAACCCUGACGCAGCAACGCCGCGUGAGUGAGGAAGGUUUUCGGAUUGUAAAGCUCUGUCGAGCGGAAAGAAAUGCAUUAUGGCUAAUAUCCAUAGUGCUUGACGGUACCGCUAGAGGAAGCACCGGCUAACUCCGUGCCAGCAGCCGCGGUAAUACGGGGGGUGCAAGCGUUGUUCGGAAUUACUAGGCGUAAAGGGCAGGCAGGCGGAUCUAUAAGCUUUUCGUUUAAGGUGUCAGCUUAACUGGCGUACGGCGGGAGAUACUGUAGAUCUGGAAUGCGGUUGGGGAAGACAGAAUUCCUGGUGUAGCGGUGGAAUGCGCAGAGAUCAGGAGGAAUACCGAAGGCGAAGGCAGUCUUCCAAGCCGUCAUUGACGCUCAACUGCGAAGGUGUGGGUAUCAAACAGGAUUAGAUACCCUGGUAGUCCACACAGUAAACGAUGAUCACUGGGUGUCGGGUUCGAAGAGGAUUCGGUGCCGUAGCUAACGCGAUAAGUGAUUCGCCUGGGGAGUACGAUCGCAAGGUUGAAACUCAAAUGAAUUGACGG